This 440-nucleotide ribosomal RNA is filed under the name uncultured Anaerolineae bacterium. Its description in RNAcentral is "partial 16S ribosomal RNA". It matches the Rfam family "Bacterial small subunit ribosomal RNA", at positions 338 to 794 of the family's 1533-position model. The record is from RNAcentral. Lineage: Bacteria; Bacillati; Chloroflexota; Anaerolineae.
CCUACGGGUGGCAGCAGUAGGGAAUAUUGCACAAUGGGCGCAAGCCUGAUGCAGCAACGCCGCGUGCGCGAAGAAGGCCUUCGGGUUGUAAAGCGCUUUUCUGGGAGACGAGAGAGGACGGUAACCCAGGAAGAAGGCUCGGCUAACUACGUGCCAGCAGCCGCGGUAAAACGUAGGAGUCAAGCGUUAUCCGAAUUUACUGGGCGUAAAGCGCGUGCAGGCGGUUGGACAAGUUGGAUGUGAAAGCUCCUGGCUCAACUGGGAGAGGACGUUCAAGACUGUUCGACUAGAGGGCGACAGAGGGAGGUGGAAUUCCCGGUGUAGGGGUAAAAUGCGUAGAUAUCGGGAGGAACACCGGAGGCGAAGGCGGCCUCCUGGGUCGUACCUGACGCUGAGAUGCGAAAGCUAGGGGAGCGAACGGGAUUAGAUCCCCGGGUAGU